UGAAAAACUCACUUCAAAUCUCGUCCUCGAGCCUCUGAUAGGAGGAACACAGGGCAGGUGUGUCGCUGAGGGUUGGAGGACUCCACUGUGGGUGUCUGUCCUGCCAGCCACAGCUCAUGGUCAGAUCCUGCUCCAAAGAACCCGAGUUACAGCUUAGCGGGCACUGCCGACCACCCGGGAGCCGGGCCAGGACCCCCCAUGGAGUCGUGCACGUGGGUGGCUUACUGCCUUUCCCUGGUCCAAAGACAUUCUCUGACCACAGGAGCUUCCAACUGGAGUGUUGCUCUUUGCUGGGAAACCCCAGAACUGGAAACUGGGGGCUUUUCCGUGAGAAGCUGGGCUGCGAGAGACAGGAGCUUCCUCCCCUCAAGACCUAGGUUUGCCGAGUUGGCCCGAGAGCUGCACUUAAAAA
Molecule: long non-coding RNA, 412 nt
Filed under: Ictidomys tridecemlineatus (thirteen-lined ground squirrel)
Lineage: Eukaryota; Metazoa; Chordata; Mammalia; Rodentia; Sciuridae
Description: lncRNA (ENSSTOG00000029770.1)
Source: RNAcentral